UGGGGAAUUUUGGACAAUGGGGGCAACCCUGAUCCAGCCAUCCCGCGUGUGCGAUGAAGGCCUUCGGGUUGUAAAGCACUUUUGGCAGGGAAGAAAAGGCUCUGGCUAAUACCUGGAGCUGCUGACGGUACCUGCAGAAUAAGCACCGGCUAACUACGUGCCAGCAGCCGCGGUAAUACGUAGGGUGCAAGCGUUAAUCGGAAUUACUGGGCGUAAAGCGUGCGCAGGCGGUUCGGCAAGAAGGAUGUGAAAUCCCAGGGCUUAACCUUGGAACUGCAUUCUUAACUGCCGGGCUAGAGUAUGUCAGAGGGGGGUAGAAUUCCGCGUGUAGCAGUGAAAUGCGUAGAGAUGCGGAGGAAUACCGAUGGCGAAGGCAGCCCCCUGGGAUAAUACUGACGCU
RNAcentral lists this ribosomal RNA (400 nucleotides) under uncultured bacterium. RNAcentral describes it as "bacterial SSU rRNA". It matches the Rfam family "Bacterial small subunit ribosomal RNA", at positions 355 to 747 of the family's 1533-position model. The record is from RNAcentral.